Molecule: non-coding RNA, 584 nt
Organism: Biomphalaria pfeifferi
Lineage: Eukaryota; Metazoa; Mollusca; Gastropoda; Planorbidae
Source: the annotation of a GenBank genome assembly
AUUUGAGUUGUUUAAAUUAAUUUUAUUUCAUAACUUGAGAGAUGAAUAGGUAAUGUCAUAAAGUAAGUCUAAACAAAAACUGACAAAACAUUAAGGACUACACAAUGAUGACCAGUUGAACUGACAUUAUAUAGACUACAAUUAACUAGAACUGAACUACACUAAGGGAAGGAUGAUCAAUUAAGUGAAAGUGAUAAUGUCUUAUUGUUUUCAACUAUGUUAGUGUAGUAUGAGAUCUUUAUCUGCAUCACCAACUUGCUGUUUCCAUUUCUAUAAUAAACUUGUACUAUAAUGAUAUGAUAUAAUUAACAAAGACAAAACAUUCAGACUUGUUACUAGGCUUGACUAGUAUAUACAAAAAUGUUUUGUAUUUAUAGUGCUCUGCCUUAUCUUUACCUGAUUGCACUGCUUUUCUGUCUUACAUAGUAACAUUGCCCAAUCAGAACAGCAGUAGUAUGGGCUAGAUCCUUAUGUCUCAUUAGAAAACUGAUGACAAUAACUUGUGGAACACAUAUUAGAGCUUAGAAGAUAACUUUAUACAAAUAAUCAUGACACAUUACUAGAGAAAUAAUCACAUCCCUUUA